CCUGGUUUGUGAUAAUAACUUUAACACAUGAUCCGAUUUUUGUAAGUGUUAAUUCAGUGCUUUACUACUUUAACGGACUAUUGACACUCUCAAAAGACGUUUUGAUGUAGUUAUGUGCAAUAAAUAAUAGUGCGUAUGGACAUUAUACACAUUUGUUUAAGUGUACAUCUCAAAUAUAAGAAUUUGAUCUAGGGAGAACAAUUCAAACUGUUAGAUUGUCAAAUCUUUAAAAA
RNAcentral lists this long non-coding RNA (233 nucleotides) under Mytilus galloprovincialis (Mediterranean mussel). The record is from RNAcentral. Lineage: Eukaryota; Metazoa; Mollusca; Bivalvia; Mytilida; Mytilidae.